Carassius carassius (crucian carp) is the source of this 277-nucleotide long non-coding RNA. RefSeq lists it as uncharacterized. Lineage: Eukaryota; Metazoa; Chordata; Actinopteri; Cypriniformes; Cyprinidae. The transcript has 3 exons. The record is from RefSeq and is a predicted model, not a curated record.
CAGGAUUGUUUGCAGAUAAUGCUGUUCUUCUUUUUCAGGUCUACAAUAUCGAGCUCAACAGCUCUUUUAAGAGCAAACCCUCACAAACCUUCCUAAAAACUAAAAGAGCUAUUACUGAGUCUCAGUGAAUCUUGCCAUGAUCAGCUCUUCCCAGAAGAUAAGGAAGACCAAGGAAAUUAUUUGCUCAGGAUGAGGAAUGAAGAUGGCCAUCUUGUGCUCAAACAAACAGAAGUCCUCUGAUGAUCUCAUCAGCCAAAUGAGGGGUUUUGACCAAGGA